GUAGGUGGCAAGCGUUAUCCGGAAUUACUGGGUGUAAAGGGAGCGCAGGCGGGAUAGCAAGUCAGCUGUGAAAACUAUGGGCUCAACCCAUAAACUGCAGUUGAAACUGUUAUUCUUGAGUGGAGUAGAGGCAAGCGGAAUUCCGAGUGUAGCGGUGAAAUGCGUAGAUAUUCGGAGGAACACCAGUGGCGAAGGCGGCUUGCUGGGCUCUAACUGACGCUGAGGCUCGAAAGUGUGGGGAGCAAACAGGAUUAGAUACCCUGGUAGUCCACACUGUAAACGAUGAUUGCUAGGUGUGGGGGGUCUGACCCCCUCCGUGCCGGAGUUAACGCAAUAAGCAAUCCACCUGGGGAGUACGGCCGCAAGGUUG
This 370-nucleotide ribosomal RNA is filed under the name uncultured bacterium. Its description in RNAcentral is "bacterial SSU rRNA". It matches the Rfam family "Bacterial small subunit ribosomal RNA", at positions 527 to 896 of the family's 1533-position model. The record is from RNAcentral.